Molecule: ribosomal RNA, 931 nt
Filed under: uncultured bacterium
Lineage: Bacteria
Description: bacterial SSU rRNA
Rfam family: Bacterial small subunit ribosomal RNA
Source: RNAcentral
ACGCUGGCGGCAGGCUUAACACAUGCAAGUCGAACGGUAACAGGGAUUAGCUUGCUAAUUUGCUGACGAGUGGCGGACGGGUGAGUAAUGCUUGGGAAUCUGGCUUAUGGAGGGGGAUAACUACGGGAAACUGUAGCUAAUACCGCGUAAAAUCUUCGGAUUAAAGGGUGGAACUUUCGAGCCACCUGCCAUAAGAUGAGCCCAAGUGGGAUUAGGUAGUUGGUUAGGUAAAGGCUGACCAAGCCGACGAUCUCUAGCUGGUCUGAGAGGAUGACCAGCCACACUGGAACUGAGACACGGUCCAGACUCCUACGGGAGGCAGCAGUGGGGAAUAUUGCACUAUGGGGGGAACCCUGAUGCAGCCAUGCCGCGUGAAUGAAGAAGGCCUUCGGGUUGUAAAGUUCUUUCGGUGACGAGGAAGGUUGAUAGGUUAAUAGCCUAUCAAAUUGACGUUAAUCACAGAAGAAGCACCGGCUAACUCCGUGCCAGCAGCCGCGGUAAUACGGGGGGUGCGAGCGUUAAUCGGAAUAACUGGGCGUAAAGGGCGCGCAGGCGGUGACUUAAGUGAGAUGUGAAAGCCCCGGGCUUAACCUGGGAAUUGCAUUUCAUACUGGGUCGCUAGAGUACUUUAGGGAGGGGUAGAAUUCCACGUGUAGCGGUGAAAUGCGUAGAGAUGUGGAGGAAUACCGAAGGCGAAGGCAGCCCCUUGGGAAUGUACUGACGCUCAUGUGCGAAAGCGUGGGGAGCAAACAGGAUUAGAUACCCUGGUAGUCCACGCUGUAAACGAUGUCGAUUUGGGGAUUGGGCUUUGAGCUUGGUGCCCGUAGCUAACGUGAUAAAUCGACCGCCUGGGGAGUACGGCCGCAAGGUUAAAACUCAAAUGAAUUGACGGGGGCCCGCACAAGCGGUGGAGCAUGUGGUUUAAUUCGAU